Molecule: transfer RNA, 66 nt
Filed under: Oceanibaculum indicum
Lineage: Bacteria; Pseudomonadati; Pseudomonadota; Alphaproteobacteria; Rhodospirillales; Oceanibaculaceae
Description: tRNA-Pro
Rfam family: tRNA
About the family: Transfer RNA (tRNA) molecules are approximately 80 nucleotides in length. Their secondary structure includes four short double-helical elements and three loops (D, anti-codon, and T loops).
Source: RNAcentral
CGGGGUUUGAUGUAAAACGCUGUCUUCGGGAGGCAGGGGUCGCAGGUUCAAAUCCUGCUGCUCCGA